This 253-nucleotide ribosomal RNA is filed under the name uncultured bacterium. RNAcentral describes it as "partial 16S ribosomal RNA". It matches the Rfam family "Bacterial small subunit ribosomal RNA", at positions 524 to 776 of the family's 1533-position model. The record is from RNAcentral.
UACGUAGGGUGCAAGCGUUAAUCGGAAUUACUGGGCUUAAAGGGUGCGUAGGCGGCGCGGAAAGUUGGGUGUGAAAUCCCUCGGCUCAACCGAGGAAUUGCGCUCAAAACUACCGUGCUCGAGGGAGAUAGAGGAGCGCGGAACUUAGGGUGGAGCGGUGAAAUGCGUUGAUAUCCUAGGGAACACCGGUGGCGAAAGCGGCGCUCUGGAUCUCAUCUGACGCUGAUGCACGAAAGCUAGGGUAGCUAACGGG